ACCACCUUAAACACACCCAAUCCCUUUUGAUUUCAGAAGCUUCACAGGGUCAGGCCUGGGUAGGACUUGGGUGAAGAGCCACCAGGAA
Molecule: ribosomal RNA, 88 nt
Filed under: Pogona vitticeps (central bearded dragon)
Lineage: Eukaryota; Metazoa; Chordata; Lepidosauria; Squamata; Agamidae
Source: RNAcentral